Long non-coding RNA from Chenopodium quinoa (quinoa), 650 nucleotides. RefSeq lists it as uncharacterized. The transcript has 5 exons. NCBI's taxonomy places the organism in Eukaryota, Viridiplantae, Streptophyta, Magnoliopsida, Caryophyllales, Amaranthaceae. The record is from RefSeq and is a predicted model, not a curated record.
AAUAGUAAGGGAAUAAAGAGUGUGGCAAAGGAGGAGGGUUUUAGAGAACCCAAUUCACUUUACAGACUUAAACUCUUUUUUUUGGGUUGUUUUUCCAAGUUUACCUUGCCAUCAACAACUUCACAUACACACAUAUAUAUAGUCGUAGAGUGGUGAAAGAGCAGCACCAGCAGCAGCAAAAGCUUAAACUCUCAACAAUGGUGGACGUCACCGUCGAGAAGACUGAAGAGGAGCUCCGCAAAGAGCUUGAAGCUUUGCAGCGUCAACAACGCGAGAGCGUAUUAGGGAUCCAAAAGGGCUUCGUCGUGGAGGUUUUUCUGGGAAUUCUCCCAGAAAUUUUGGUCCCAAUCAACGUGGUUUUGUCAGACCUAUUGAUAGGACGAAUUUGAAGGAUGAACCUCCUGCCAAGCGUCGAUUGUGUUCUGCAGUUGUUAAGGUGGAUGGUGAUGGGGAAGUGGCUGAAGGGAAAAAUCCUGUUAGUGGAGAGCAAAAUGAGGGUUCAGCUGCUGCUGUCUUGGUUUCGUUUAGCAAGAAUGAUCAAAGGUCUUCUGUUCUGCAGCAAAGUCGAUUAGGUUCUGCGAAAAACAGUGAUUUACGGGCAGAUAAUGGAGCUGAUCAUCAAGUAAAGGAACCUAGAGUUUUGCCUAAAG